RNAcentral lists this ribosomal RNA (453 nucleotides) under uncultured bacterium. RNAcentral describes it as "bacterial SSU rRNA". The stretch from base 1 to 270 matches the Rfam family "Bacterial small subunit ribosomal RNA", at positions 959 to 1228 of the family's 1533-position model. The record is from RNAcentral.
ACGCGAAGAACCUUACCUACUCUUGACAUCCUUGGAAGCUCGUAGAGAUAUGAGUGUGCCGAAAGGAACCAAGUGACAGGUGCCGCAUGGCUGUCGUCAGCUCGUGUCGUGAGAUGUUGGGUUAAGUCCCGUAACGAGCGCAACCCUUGUCCUUAUUUGCCAGCGAGUAAUGUCGGGAACUUUAAGGAGACUGCCGGUGAUAAACCGGAGGAAGGUGGGGACCACCUCAACUCAUCAUGGCCAAUAUCAGUACGGCUACAUACAUGCUACCAUGACCAAGCAUCAAUAGUAUACAAAUUUACAAAAGAUACCAACACAAGCUAUCCUAUCUAUCCACUAAAAAGAUCCCCACUCCUCAUUUGCCGCCCCACACCACACAACACAUAACAUCCAAAUCGAACACACUCACUACCUACAACCCCAACCUACCACAACAUCAGAUAUGAACCAUAU